UACGAAGGUCCCGAGCGUUGUUCGGAAUCACUGGGCGUAAAGGGAGCGUAGGCGGCGUGGUAAGUCAGAUGUGAAAUCCCGGGGCUCAACCCCGGAACUGCAUCCGAUACUGCCAUGCUAGAGGAUUGGAGAGGUAGCUGGAAUUCACGGUGUAGCAGUGAAAUGCGUAGAUAUCGUGAGGAACACUCGUGGCGAAAGGGAGCUACUGGACAAUUCCUGACGCUGAGGCUCGAAGGCUAGGGUAGCGAAAGGG
RNAcentral lists this ribosomal RNA (253 nucleotides) under uncultured bacterium. RNAcentral describes it as "partial 16S ribosomal RNA". It matches the Rfam family "Bacterial small subunit ribosomal RNA", at positions 524 to 776 of the family's 1533-position model. The record is from RNAcentral.